AUCAUAACCACAACUAUGUAUCAAUAUGCCUAGACCAGACAAAGUGUAUUGCGUUGUUGCAAUCGUAUUGCACUUGUCCCGGUCUAAGCAUUUGGUAAGAAAG
RNAcentral lists this microRNA precursor (103 nucleotides) under Ciona savignyi (Pacific transparent sea squirt). RNAcentral's name for it is "microRNA csa-mir-92a precursor". Its record names the gene csa-mir-92a. The stretch from base 25 to 92 matches the Rfam family "ciona-mir-92 microRNA precursor family". The record is from miRBase by way of RNAcentral. Lineage: Eukaryota; Metazoa; Chordata; Ascidiacea; Phlebobranchia; Cionidae.